This 303-nucleotide ribosomal RNA is filed under the name uncultured bacterium. RNAcentral describes it as "partial 16S ribosomal RNA". It matches the Rfam family "Bacterial small subunit ribosomal RNA", at positions 507 to 807 of the family's 1533-position model. The record is from RNAcentral.
AGCAGCCGCCGCGGUAAUACAGAGGGUGCGAGCGUUAAUCGGAUUUACUGGGCGUAAAGCGUGAGUAGGCGGCUUUUUAAGUCGGAUGUGAAAUCCCUGAGCUUAACUUAGGAAUUGCAUUCGAUACUGGGAAGCUAGAGUAUGGGAGAGGAUGGUAGAAUUCCAGGUGUAGCGGUGAAAUGCGUAGAGAUCUGGAGGAAUACCGAUGGCGAAGGCAGCCAUCUGGCCUAAUACUGACGCUGAGGUACGAAAGCAUGGGGAGCAAACAGGAUUAGAUACCCCAGUAGUCCCUGUCUCUUAUAC